GGGGGGGGAGGGUGCUGCUGUUUGUUGUAUGUUUGAUUGUUUGUUUGUUUCUUGGGUUUCUGGUAGCAUGCACAGAACUUAUAUUUUCUCUUACUUCCACAGUGCUGUUAUUACCACUGGUCAAGCUUCAUCCGUUUCAUGGGCUGUACGACUUCAUUUGUUCUGAUUAUUUUGCCAAAGAUUAAGGAUUGGUUUUCCCAGCUUCUGAGAAUUUUGUUCCAGAUAUACCCAACCAAACAUUCAGUGGAAAAAAAGAAUGUGAAGGACAACUCUGAUUCAGCUGUCAAUCAUAUCACUGUAUAAACCAGCAGGAGGAAUCUAAAAGUUACAAGCACAGAGCCUGGUCUCCAUCCUGCUGAUCUCUGAGGUGAAGGAGUCACUGCUUUAGAUAAUGCAAGAACAAGCCUUUUGCAGAACUUUCUAAGCUUCACAUGUGGCACAAUUCAUCUCCCACUGUACUGUAGCCACUCUGUGUUCACACUGUAAGAUUCAGCAGUUCCAUUUCAUCACAUUGCUUCAAAAUAAAGGACAGUAGAUGGUUUAAAACUUUGGGACA
RNAcentral lists this long non-coding RNA (556 nucleotides) under Cyanistes caeruleus (blue tit). RNAcentral's name for it is "lncRNA (ENSCCEG00000023426.1)". The record is from RNAcentral. Lineage: Eukaryota; Metazoa; Chordata; Aves; Passeriformes; Paridae.